UUUUUGUUUAAUUCUUUGUUUUAAUGCCACACCGAGUCUGGGCUUUUUCAAGGUGUCAAGCUCAGGAGGGGCAACUUUGGGUUGCAAAUAGCAGCCGUACACCUCCCCCGUGUUUGUCAGAGAUUGUUAUGGCCUCUCUGAAACAGCCUGGUGUGAGGAGAGGGGGGCCCCUGCUCUUUGGGCCUGAGAUGGUGCAGACACUGGUACAGCCCAGCCUUCGAGGGCGCUCAGGGCCACUGCUUUUUACUCAAUAUGGCAACGUUGCCUGCCUGGCCCAUCUGUAGUGGGUGGGAGGGCACCAUGCCCAGCAGCCAUCCGCUAAGGAAGUCCUGGAGCUAAAGGUGACCUCUAGGGUCCAGCCCCUGUCCAAUCCUAAGGCUUUAGAGAUAGAGUCACCAGCUAGGACCCCCCCAAACCUAGCUUCUCUAGAAGGUGGCUCCCUCAACUGGGCCAACAGUAUUUCGGGUCUGAAGACCAAUACUCUGCAGACGGAUCGCAGUCAUUCCCUGGGAAGGGUGGAGGCUCCUGGAGGUUUUCUUUGCUCCGUUGCCUGGGCUAACCUGAGGGGUUUGAGGUUCAGAGGUGCCAAGCUUACCCCAACAGAACCCCAUAGCCCUGGCUCCAACCGCAACACUGGGUUCGUUUGGCCUAGGAGGGCCAGACUUGCAUCCCUUAACCGC
Molecule: long non-coding RNA, 680 nt
Filed under: Rattus norvegicus (Norway rat)
Lineage: Eukaryota; Metazoa; Chordata; Mammalia; Rodentia; Muridae
Description: long non-coding RNA NONRATT022853
Source: RNAcentral